UACGAAGGGGGCUAGCGUUGUUCGGAUUUACUGGGCGUAAAGCGCACGUAGGCGGGUUGUUAAGUCAGGGGUGAAAUCCUGGAGCUCAACUCCAGAACUGCCUUUGAUACUGGCAACCUAGAGGCUGGAAGAGGUUAGUGGAAUUCCCAGUGUAGAGGUGAAAUUCGUAGAUAUUGGGAAGAACACCAGUGGCGAAGGCGGCUCACUGGCUCGAUACUGACGCUGAGGUGCGAAAGCGUGGGGAGCAAACAGG
Molecule: ribosomal RNA, 253 nt
Filed under: uncultured bacterium
Lineage: Bacteria
Description: partial 16S ribosomal RNA
Rfam family: Bacterial small subunit ribosomal RNA
Source: RNAcentral